Molecule: ribosomal RNA, 1959 nt
Filed under: human gut metagenome
Description: bacterial LSU rRNA
Rfam family: Bacterial large subunit ribosomal RNA
Source: RNAcentral
GAAAGUAAAGAAGGGCGCAUGGCGGAUGCCUUGGCUCUCGGAGGCGAUGAAGGACGUGAUAAGCUGCGAUAAGCUCCGGGGAGGUGCAAAUAACCUUUGAUCCGGGGAUUUCCGAAUGGGACAACCCGGCGUGUUGAAGACACGCCACCUGAUCAUUUCAGGAGCUAACGCAGGGAACUGAAACAUCUUAGUACCUGCAGGAAAAGAAAAUAACAAUGAUUCCCCCAGUAGUGGCGAGCGAACGGGGAAUAGCCCAAACCGUUCAUGUUACGGCAUGAUCGGGGUUGUAGGACUACGUCGUUGCAUGAAGACAUCGGAGAAGAACUUUCUGGAAAGGAAGACCAUAGAGCAUGACAGUUGCGUAUUCGUAUGUUGUCGAAGCAUAGUAGUAUCCUGAGUAGCGCGGAGCACGAGGAAUUCUGCGUGAAUCUGCCGGGACCAUCCGGUAAGGCUAAAUACUCCCGAGAGACCGAUAGCGAACCAGUACUGUGAAGGAAAGGUGAAAAGCACUUCGAAUAGAAGAGUGAAAUAGUCCCUGAAACCGUGCGCCUACAAGCGGUCGGAGCUGCUUCAGCAGUGACGGCGUGCCUUUUGCAUAAUGAACCUACGAGUUACUUUUUCCGGCAAGGUUAAGGAUCUUGAGAUCCGCAGCCGAAGCGAAAGCGAGUCUUAACAGGGCGAUUAGUCGGAAGGAGUAGACGCGAAACCAAGUGAUCUACCCUUGGUCAGGUUGAAGGUUAGGUAACACUAACUGGAGGACCGAACCGAUAAGCGUUGAAAAGCUUCCGGAUGAACUGAGGGUGGGGGUGAAAGGCUAAUCAAACUUGGAGAUAGCUCGUACUCCCCGAAAUGCAUUUAGGUGCAGCCUUGUGGGUUACUGAUGUGAGGUAGAGCGACUGAUAAGAUGCGAGGGCUUCACCGCCUAUCAAGUCUUGAUAAACUCCGAAUGCGCAGUAGUUCGAUCCCAGGAGUGAGGGCAUGGGUGCUAAGGUCCAUGUCCUAAAGGAGAAGAAUCCGGACCAUCAGCUAAGGUCCCGAAAUAAUUGCUAAGUUGAACUAACGAAGUCAGAUUGCUAAGACAGCUAGGAUGUUGGCUUGGAAGCAGCCAUUCAUUUAAAGAGUGCGUAACAGCUCACUAGUCGAGGAGUUUGGCGUGGAUAAUAAUCGGGCAUUAAGCAAUUUACCGAAGCUAUGGGAUCAGUAAUGAUCGGUAGGGGAGCAUUCCACUCUGCGUCGAAGGUGAAGCGUGAGCUUUGCUGGAGCGUGUGGAAAAGCAAAUGUAGGUAUAAGUAACGAUAAAGGGGGUGAGAAACCCCCUCGCCGAAAGACUAAGGUUUCCUGAUCAACGCUAAUCGGAUCAGGGUAAGUCGGGUCCUAAGGCUCAGCCGAAGGGCGAUGCCGAUGGCAGAAACGGUUAAUAUUCCGUUACUACCUCCAGGAGUGAUGUGGAGACGCAGUAGUGACAAUGCCGCCAUCUGACGGAAUAGAUGGUUGAAGGGUGUAGAUGUUGAUCUUGGCAGGCAAAUCCACCAUGAGAAUCGAACCUGAUAGUAUGCCGCGUCCCUCGGGACAAGGCAAUAGUGCAUGUAAUCAUGCUGCCAAGAAAAUCCGCUAAACAAAAUCCUGUAGGUACCCGUACCGUAAACGGACACACGUAGUCGGGAUGAAUAUUCUAAGGCGCUUGAGUGAUUCACGGUUAAGGAACUAGGCAAACUGACCCUGUAACUUCGGGAUAAAGGGUCCCUACCCGGUGACGGGAGGGCGCAGAGAAUAGGUCCAGGCAACUGUUUAACAAAAACACAGGGCUGUGCUAAAUCGAAAGAUCCUGUAUACAGCCUGACACCUGCCCGGUGCUGGAAGGUUAAGAGGAGACGUCAUCGUUGAGAGAAGCGUUGAAUUGAAGCCCCAGUAAACGGCGGCCGUAACUAUAACGGUCCUAAGGUAGCGAAAUUCCUUGUC